GCUGGGCACGGUGGCGAAUGCCUGUAGUCCCAGCUAUUUGGGAGGCUGAGGCUGGAGGAUCUCGAGUCCAGGACUUCUGGGUUGUAGUGCGCUAUGCCGAUCAGGUAUCUGCACUAAGUUUGGCAUCAAUAUGGUGACCUCCCAGGAGCAGGGGACCACCAGGUUGCCUAAGGAGGGUUGAACCAGCCCAGGUCGGAAACAGAGCAGGUCAAAACUCCCAUGCUGAUCAGUAGUGGGAUCGCACCUGUGAAUUCACUGCACUCCAGCCUGGGCAACAUAGCGAGACCCUGUCUCA
This 295-nucleotide signal recognition particle RNA is filed under the name Cebus imitator (Panamanian white-faced capuchin). RNAcentral describes it as "Metazoan signal recognition particle RNA (ENSCCAG00000011463.1)". It matches the Rfam family "Metazoan signal recognition particle RNA". From Rfam's summary of the family: The signal recognition particle (SRP) is a universally conserved ribonucleoprotein. It is involved in the co-translational targeting of proteins to membranes. The eukaryotic SRP consists of a 300-nucleotide 7S RNA and six proteins: SRPs 72, 68, 54, 19, 14, and 9. Lineage: Eukaryota; Metazoa; Chordata; Mammalia; Primates; Cebidae. The record is from RNAcentral.